GACACAAGGUAAGUAAAAGUAACAGUUUAGAAUGUAUUUAAAAUAUUUAAUUAAACAUUAUUUCUGCCUCAAGCUUUUAAAUAGUUCUUUGGAAAAAGAGGACAUAUCCAUCAUAGCUGUUUCAUAUUCAUCUCUAAAUAGCUAAAUCAUAUGAUAGCUUUUCAAUUGAAAUCAUUAAACUUUUAUAGUAAUAUGGCAUUUAAAUAUACAUGUGACCUUUCUGGUGUAUGGGUAGAGCGUUACAAAAAUAUAUUGCUUACAUCUCAAGAAUUUAUUUCAAGUUGGCAGAUUGCACUCUAUAAUAAAAUUAACUUUUAAUUUUGCAUUCACAAAAUACAUUUUACACUUUUAGCUGUUUCCAAUCAACUAGAACAGCUGUUCAUUUUAUAAAAUUAAAUGAUUAAUAUUCUUUUUAAUUAUACAUUUUGAGUACAUAUGCCACUCAAGGUCAAUGCAUUUCUGAAUUUUAGAUCUUAAAUGUCAUUGGUAUAAUCGACACAUCAUAUAAACUAAUUAAUCUUGUGGUUAAUUCAAAUUAAUUAAUCUACCAAAAUAUAGGAAAAUGGUUUAGAAACUUCAGAUUUGGCACGUUUUCUGUGUUGAAAAGUGACUUUCACACUUGGACAAACUUUUAAGCAGAUAAGAUUAUAUAUAUAUGAAAAAAAUGUUCUUCAAAUAGAUGUUUGGGGUUUUUUAGCAUGUUAAUAGAGUUAUUUUUUAGUUAAGAGCCAAAUAGAAUCAGAUUUUAACCCACUUUAACCUCUUUGUCCUGACAGACUAGAAUGUCAUUGCAAUAAUCCAACAAAUUUAUGAAGUUAUGUUUCCUAUCUCUUCAUCUAGUAUUAUAGACAUAUAUGAUCAUUGUUUUAAUUAGAUGUCCUUCCUAAAACCAUUGCCAUGUACUUCCUCCAUACUAAAUUAUAGAUAUAAUUCUUAAAAGAAAUAUUUAAUCUGAAAUUAUUUGCAGAGAGAUUGCAUUAAGUUUUAAAGUAACUACAGCUUAACUGUUUCAGUUUGUAAAUUCUCACCUGUGUCUGAUACUAGUCUUGAAUACUGAAGAAAGAGGGAAUUUAGAAUGCUGAUGUCUUAAAAUUCUUGGACAAAGGUAACAUUUUACUGUUCAGUGAUAUUCAGGGAUUUUAGCAGACCACUCAAAAGUUCAAAAAUAGGGUAAAUUUGUAUCUCUGUGCAAUUACUUGCACAAUUACCAAGGCACUUUAAAAAGAGCCUUGUAACAUUUAAUAGAUUUUGUCAGCUUAUCCCCUUUCUGAGUGCUGAGGAACAAAAGUAUAAUGCCAAGUUAUUGCCAGAUCUUAUGGUCUGCUAUAGAAUCUUUUUUUCUUUUUCUUAGUUUCUCCAAUUAUUUUACACUUUUUAUGAGAUUCUUGUGAAUCCUCUGGUGAAGAUGUGUGUCUGCUGCUGUGGCACAGAAUGGAGUCAACUUAAAAGGGUCUUAGAUUUUUCUACAAAACUAUUUUUACAAAUACUUACCAAAUAGGCUCCCUAAGUCUUCAAGAAUACUGAACCUGAAAGCAAAGCUUUCCUCUGACUGAUUGUCUAGCAAGUAUCUUCAAUAACUUUGCAUUUAAACAGCAUCCAGGCCACCAAGGACCUGGAAGUGUUUGGCUAUCAGCAAGGCUCACAAUUGUCAGAGUAAAAAAGUUGUAUCAGCAAAAGAGCUGUCUUGUCUGUCCUGCUGCAUCUACAGUGUAGUCUUCUGCCAGUGUAGAUGUCUCAGCUAAGGGUUAGGGUUUUUUUAUCCCCCAUGAUUGUCACAAUUGUACCUGCAGCAGCAUGUGGUCGAAGCCUGGUUUACCUUGUCCUAAGUUAUUAGGAAAUCACUUUGAACUCGACUGCAGUAACCAAUACUUCAGCUGAAAAGGUUCACAAAAAGAUGGGGUCAGCUCUGAAGAUCUGCCCAGGGAUACAUGGCAUGUUAGUCAACACAGCUGAUUCAGGUAGGUUUCUGUGGCCAGUAGCAACAGAACAGUGCAGUUUGAAUCACAUCUUGGCACCUUCAGUUCUUGGGCCUCAGUGAUUAGGUUUUUAUUAACACCUCUCCACCAAGUUGCAGAUUUUUCUAAAUUCUUAGGAGGGCUUCAGUUCAUGCCUCUGGGGUCAGAGUAUUUUACUCACUCCACUGUAAUGCUCUAUGGAAAGACCUAACAGUGGCCCAGCUACAUCUGCUUAAAAUCACUUCAGUGCCUUUGGGGGCAUGUGUGUGUGUGUAAGCCCUUAAGGAAGCUGCAGGACUGCACAUGCCCUGGGAGCCAACCAGAUAAUCAUUAGAGAGUCCCAGAAUGCAGGAAGAGCCCCUGCUACGCAUGCCUUCCUUUGGCAAGCAGGAACAGAGGGGCUUGAAAUGGUUUUCUCAGAGGAAAUGGUAAACAUAAUGGAGAUGCAUAACUAUCAUAAGCCAGACCAAAGAUCUGUUUAACCUAGGAGCCUGUUUUCCAGUAACAGAUGCUUAAGGAAAGUGGAUUAAAACCAAGGCAUAUAUAAAACAGAUAUUCCCCUUGGCAUGGCCUCAGCUUCUGGGGAACAGUGCCUCAGAAACUUCCUGAGCUGGAAUCACAUUUUGUUUGUUGUGUUUAAUAGUCACAGAUAGGCCGAGCCAUCACAGAUCUGUCUCAUCCGUUUAUGUCUGGAUUUACACUUUGUGGGUCCGCAACAUAUUCUGAUAGCUGUUUGUAAGGGAUUAUAUCCCCUCUGAAAAGAAAGACAUGAUGACUUUAUAACCAUCUCAUUUUA
Neopsephotus bourkii (Bourke's parrot) is the source of this 2751-nucleotide long non-coding RNA. RefSeq lists it as uncharacterized. Lineage: Eukaryota; Metazoa; Chordata; Aves; Psittaciformes; Psittacidae. The record is from RefSeq and is a predicted model, not a curated record. The transcript is spliced from 3 exons.